AGGUGGAGCUUGCUCUGCUGGAUCAGUGGCGAACGGGUGAGUAACACGUGAGCAAUCUGCCCCGAACUCUGGGAUAACCACGGGAAACCGUGGCUAAUACUGGAUAUGUACCGCGAUCGCAUGGUCUGUGGUUGGAAAGAUUUUUCGGUUCGGGAUGAGCUCGCGGCCUAUCAGCUUGUUGGUGAGGUAAUGGCUCACCAAGGCGACGACGGGUAGCCGGCCUGAGAGGGUGACCGGCCACACUGGGACUGAGACACGGCCCAGACUCNUACGGGAGGCAGCAGUGGGGAAUAUUGCACAAUGGGCGCAAGCCUGAUGCAGCAACGCCGCGUGAGGGAUGACGGCCUUCGGGUUGUAAACCUCUUUUAGUAGGGAAGAAGCGAAAGUGACGGUACCUGCAGAAAAAGCACCGGCUAACUACGUGCCAGCAGCCGCGGUAAUACGUAGGGUGCAAGCGUUGUCCGGAAUUAUUGGGCGUAAAGAGCUCGUANGCGGUUUGUC
This 501-nucleotide ribosomal RNA is filed under the name Herbiconiux sp. 8da. Its description in RNAcentral is "bacterial SSU rRNA". It matches the Rfam family "Bacterial small subunit ribosomal RNA", at positions 71 to 584 of the family's 1533-position model. Lineage: Bacteria; Bacillati; Actinomycetota; Actinomycetes; Micrococcales; Microbacteriaceae. The record is from RNAcentral.